UCGAGCGUAGAGUGAAUUACCAACGGCGCGUUCGUGAAAUGUGCCAUUCAUCCGAAACAUGUUAACUUUGGAACGGCUGGUAAAUCUGAAGCAGCUGGCGCAGAUGUGCCACCGCCUUCGUGACAUGAACAGGACAUGGACACAACAUCAUGACAUGGCUACGGCACGCAGAUAACGUCCUAUAAUACGGCUGUCAUCACAGCCUCCAGCAACACACGCAUUGGAUUUUGGAACACAUCAACAACAUUCCACGAAUAAUCAAAACCGACACCUGUCUCCUGAGCUCUUAUCUACGACUUUGUGUGUCAAAAGCCAACUUCAACACUGAAUAAACAACACCAGUAACACUUUUAAGGUAAUAAUGGAAGAACUGCAGCAGUUUGGUAAUGUGGACCAAGUUGAGGAAGUGGAGGAGGUCUGUCUGCCACGUCUUGUGGUGAGAGAUAGAAGGAUCCAAUUGUCAUGCAGUCAGAGGAGUUCAUAAAGCGUUAUCGACUGCCAAAGCAGUGCAUCAGAAACCUGCUUCAGAAAAUCACCAGAAAAUUACCCACAGCAAGAGAUGGCAGAGGUUGCAGCUUGUGUUGUGUUGCAUAAUCAAGCCACAACUGAGAAUAUUGAUAUUGCCAAAGAAGAAGACACAGAUGAACUAGAGCAUGAUGCAGUACACUACGAAAAUAAUGAUAAUCGUUUAGGGUUUGAUGUCAGAAGCAAUGUUGUUGAACAAUGGUUUUAGGAGUCAGACUUUCUGGAUGAAUAAUUAAUUUCCACUGAUUAAGGAAGCUGCAACAAGGAAGUCCUGUAGGAGUGAAGAAGCAUGGCGGUUGGCCUUGCUCUUCCCCCAAGAUCUGAGGGGAGCCUGGAGUUCCCUUGCUCUGCCUCCGCUUCUCCUGUCCAGUCGAGCCACGGCCUACUUGAGAGAAGAGUCGCCUGUGUUGACGCCGAAGGUGUGUGGAGAGUGAGGGAAAUCUGUUCUAAUCACCUCAAUGUGUGAAAACCAUGUAGGGAAUUUACUUAUAAAGUAUGGAUAUAUCUGUACUUUGUGUAUUUAUGAAUGUAUAUGUGUUUAUGUAUGAAUAUAUAUCUGUAUGUACAGAUAUGUUUAUGUAUGUAUGA
Molecule: long non-coding RNA, 1113 nt
Filed under: Penaeus japonicus
Lineage: Eukaryota; Metazoa; Arthropoda; Malacostraca; Decapoda; Penaeidae
Description: uncharacterized LOC122245862, transcript variant X3
Source: RNAcentral